Molecule: long non-coding RNA, 290 nt
Filed under: Setaria viridis
Lineage: Eukaryota; Viridiplantae; Streptophyta; Magnoliopsida; Poales; Poaceae
Description: long non-coding RNA (SVIR_LNC010322)
Source: RNAcentral
GGAGAUUGAAAGCAUCUAGGCCCAUAAUUUGAGUUUUGGUAAUAAAUGACAACCCCUUAAGGACUAAUGUUUUUCAAUGAGUAAUAUUGAGUGUAGGUUAGUCCCGUGGAUGAGUUGUGGCCAUGAUUCUUAGUAUAAUGACAUUCAAAUUUGAUUUGAUGAUGGAAGGCUCAAGGCAAAGGUAUAAAAUAGGGUUUUUCCUUUUUGCCGGUCAAACAGGUGCUUAGUGGAUGAACAAUAUGACCGGUUUUAAUAGGAUAGAUGGCCGUACUAUUAAGAGGGGUCAAUUC